This 1427-nucleotide ribosomal RNA is filed under the name uncultured organism. Its description in RNAcentral is "partial small subunit ribosomal RNA". It matches the Rfam family "Bacterial small subunit ribosomal RNA". The record is from RNAcentral.
CGCUGGCGGCGUGCUUAACACAUGCAAGUCGAACGGAAAGGCCCUGCUUUUGUGGGGUGCUCGAGUGGCGAACGGGUGAGUAACACGUGAGUAACCUGCCCUUGACUUUGGGAUAACUUCAGGAAACUGGGGCUAAUACCGGAUAGGAGCUCCUGCUGCAUGGUGGGGGUUGGAAAGUUUCGGCGGUUGGGGAUGGACUCGCGGCUUAUCAGCUUGUUGGUGGGGUAGUGGCUUACCCAGGCUUUGACGGGUAGCCGGCCUGAGAGGGUGACCGGCCACAUUGGGACUGAGAUACGGCCCAGACUCCUACGGGAGGCAGCAGUGGGGAAUAUUGCACAAUGGGCGGAAGCCUGAUGCAGCAACGCCGCGUGCGGGAUGACGGCCUUCGGGUUGUAAACCGCUUUCGCCUGUGACGAAGCGUGAGUGACGGUAAUGGGUAAAGAAGCACCGGCUAACUACGUGCCAGCAGCCGCGGUGAUACGUAGGGUGCGAGCGUUGUCCGGAUUUAUUGGGCGUAAAGGGCUCGUAGGUGGUUGAUCGCGUCGGAAGUGUAAUCUUGGGGCUUAACCCUGAGCGUGCUUUCGAUACGGGUUGACUUGAGGAAGGUAGGGGAGAAUGGAAUUCCUGGUGGAGCGGUGGAAUGCGCAGAUAUCAGGAGGAACACCAGUGGCGAAGGCGGUUCUCUGGGCCUUUCCUGACGCUGAGGAGCGAAAGCGUGGGGAGCGAACAGGCUUAGAUACCCUGGUAGUCCACGCUGUAAACGGUGGGUACUAGGUGUGGGGUCCAUUCCACGGGUUCCGUGCCGUAGCUAACGCUUUAAGUACCCCGCCUGGGGAGUACGGCCGCAAGGCUAAAACUCAAAGGAAUUGACGGGGCCCCGCACAAGCGGCGGAGCAUGCGGAUUAAUUCGAUGCAACGCGUAGAACCUUACCUGGGUUUGACAUGGAUCGGGAGUGCUCAGAGAUGGGUGUGCCUCUUUUGGGGUCGGUUCACAGGUGGUGCAUGGCUGUCGUCAGCUCGUGUCGUGAGAUGUUGGGUUAAGUCCCGCAACGAGCGCAACCCUUGUUCACUGUUGCCAGCACGUUAUGGUGGGGACUCAGUGGAGACCGCCGGGGUCAACUCGGAGGAAGGUGGGGAUGACGUCAAGUCAUCAUGCCCCUUAUGUCCAGGGCUUCACGCAUGCUACAAUGGCUGGUACAGAGAGUGGCGAGCCUGUGAGGGUGAGCGAAUCUCGGAAAGCCGGUCUCAGUUCGGAUUGGGGUCUGCAACUCGACCUCAUGAAGUCGGAGUCGCUAGUAAUCGCAGAUCAGCAACGCUGCGGUGAAUACGUUCCCGGGGCUUGUACACACCGCCCGUCAAGUCAUGAAAGUUGGUAACACCCGAAGCCAAUGGCCUAACCGUUGUGGGGGAGCCGUCGAAGGUGGGCC